This is a long non-coding RNA of Heterocephalus glaber (naked mole-rat), 742 nucleotides long. The record is from Ensembl. NCBI's taxonomy places the organism in Eukaryota, Metazoa, Chordata, Mammalia, Rodentia, Bathyergidae.
CCUGCCUGGCGGAGGCCGGACUGUGGGGGUAGCGUCUGAAGCCUGCGCGACUGCGGCCUGUGCCAUGCCACCCCCUGGGAGCCUGAAAGACACAAAAUCAAGGCAGUUCCAUCAAGCACUUCGAGAGUGGAGCAGGUGGCAAGCCUUUCAAUCACCUUUACUGAGGUGAGGUGAGAAAAAAAGUUAGGGGUAGCUGGCACAUGUUCCUUUUCCCAGGAGAGAAAGUAAGUGUUCACUGAGCCAGCUGGGUAGAGUAAGGGUGGCUUGCUUGACUUCCCAGCCCAAGACGCAGAAGAUGCAGGGUUUCAUGCAUGCUAGGCACACGCUGUGCCACUGAGCUACACUUCCACCCUUUUCCUUCUUUCUGCCCCCACCUGUUUCUUUUUGACAGAAGAAAUACUUCAGAAAUUGGAACCGGAAAGGGCCAGAUUCCAAGCCCUGUACCCCUGCUCCCAUUUUACAGUGUGAGCCAGGAAUGACUUCUCUAUAAGAAGCCAUCCAGGGACCCUUAAGGAUUGACUUGGCACUAACCUGCUGAUGAAGAUCUUGGAGGGCUGAAGACAUUGCUCAAAGUCAGAAAUAUAUACACAACACUCACUUUUGAUUGCACAGGCCCUGCCCUGUGUUGUUGUCAGGAUAUCUGGAGCCAUUUAGUUCUGUAACACAACCUGUCUCAUCAAUUUGACUUCAGUGUUUAAAAGAGAAAUUACUGGGCCAGGGAUUUAGCUCAGUGGUUCUGGCG